RNAcentral lists this ribosomal RNA (1561 nucleotides) under Candidatus Purcelliella pentastirinorum. RNAcentral's name for it is "bacterial SSU rRNA". It matches the Rfam family "Bacterial small subunit ribosomal RNA". The record is from RNAcentral. Lineage: Bacteria; Pseudomonadati; Pseudomonadota; Gammaproteobacteria; Enterobacterales; Enterobacteriaceae.
UAAUUGAAGAGUUUGAUCAUAGCUCAGAUUGAACGCUAGCGGCAAGCUUAACACAUGCAAGUCGAGCGGCAACAUAAUUAAAGGAAACUUUAAUUGAUGGCGAGCGGCGGACGGGUGAGUAAUAUUUGGGGAUCUACCUUAAGAAGGGGGAUAACUAUUGGAAACGAUAGCUAAUACCGCGUAAUGUUUAACAACCAAAGUGGGGGAUUUAUAUUAACAUAUAAACCUCAUGUCUUUAGAUGAACCCAAAUGAGAUUAGCUAGUAGGUAAGGUAAUGGCUUACCUAGGCGACGAUCUCUAGCUGGUCUGAGAGGAUGUCCAGCCACACUGGAACUGAGAACGGUCCAGACUCUUACGGGAGGCAGCAGUGGGGAAUAUUGCACAAUGGGCGAAAGCCUGAUGCAGCUAUGCCGCGUGUAUGAAGAAGGCUUUUGGGUUGUAAAGUACUUUCAGUAGGGAAGAAGUCAUAUAUACUAAUAGUAUUAAUGAUUGACGUUACUUACAGAAGAAGCACCGGCAAACUCCGUGCCAGCAGCCGCGGUAAUACGGGGGGUGCUAGCGUUAAUCGGAAUUACUGGGCGUAAAGAGCACGUAGGUGGUUUAUUAAGUCAGAUGUGAAAUCCCUAAGCUUAACUUAGGAAGUGCAUUUGAAACUGAUAAUGCUAGAGUUUCAGAGAGGGAGGUAGAAUUCCAAGUGUAGCGGUGAAAUGCGUAGAUAUUUGGAGGAAUACCAGUGGCGAAGGCGGCCUCCUGGUUGAAAACUGACACUGAGGUGCGAAAGCAUGGGGAGCAAACAGGAUUAGAUACCCUGGUAGUCCAUGCUGUAAACGAUGUCGACUUAGAGGAUGUAGUUUUUAGCUAUGUUUUCUGUAGCAAACGCGUUAAGUUGACCGCCUGGGGACUACGGCCGCAAGGCUAAAACUCAAAUGAAUUGACGGGGGCCCGCACAAGCGGUGGAGCAUGUGGUUUAAUUCGAUGCAACGCGAAUAACCUUACCUGGUCUUGACAUCCACAGAAGUUUUUAGAGAUAGAAAUGUGCCCUUGGGAACUGUGAGACAGGUGCUGCAUGGCUGUCGUCAGCUCGUGUUGUGAAAUGUUGGGUUAAGUCCCGCAACGAGCGUAACCCCUGUUCUCUGUUGCCAACAGUUUAGCUGGGAACUCAGAGAAGACUGCCGGUGAAAAACCGGAGGAAGGUGGGGAUGACGUCAAGUCAUCAUGGCCCUUACGACCAGGGCUACACACGUGCUACAAUGGCGUAUACAAAGGGAAGCGAACUCGCGAGUGUAAGCAGAACCCAUAAAGUGCGUCUCAGUUCGGACUAGAGUCUGCAACUCGACUCUAUGAAGUCGGAAUCGCUAGUAAUCGUAGAUCAUCAUGCUACGGUGAAUACGUUCUCGGGCCUUGUACACACCGCCCGUCACACCAUGGAAGUGCUCUGCAAAAGAAGUGAGUAGUUUAACUUAUAUCAUAUAAGAGGGCGCUUACCACUUUGUGGCUCAUGACUGGGGUGAAGUCGUAACAAGGUAACCGUAGGGGAAUCUGCGGUUGGAUCACCUCCUUA